AGAGGUUAGGUAAUUUGCUCAGGGGCAAGCAGAUAAGUAAUCAGGAAGUCAUCAUUAGAUGCGACCUGCCCUGAUUCCACAGCCCACACCCUUCAGUUCAUGCUAAGGCCUUCCCAGGACAAGCGUACCCAGCCACCUGUUGGGGGUGGAAGGGCCCAGGAAGAAGAAGGGUGUUGGAUUUCUGGUCAGUCUUGGCUUUGGGCUGGUGCCUGUAGAAGGGGCAGAGCUGAGAGACGGACUGAGUCACUUCUAGCAAAAUUGGUUGAGAAUCGUGGGACGGGUGAUGCGUGCUUGCUGUGCGGGGAUUGAAGGAGCAUUGAGAACCUAUUGGCCA
RNAcentral lists this long non-coding RNA (334 nucleotides) under Homo sapiens (human). RNAcentral's name for it is "HSALNT0229317". The record is from RNAcentral. Lineage: Eukaryota; Metazoa; Chordata; Mammalia; Primates; Hominidae.